This 484-nucleotide ribosomal RNA is filed under the name uncultured bacterium. Its description in RNAcentral is "partial 16S ribosomal RNA". It matches the Rfam family "Bacterial small subunit ribosomal RNA", at positions 30 to 507 of the family's 1533-position model. The record is from RNAcentral.
AUUGAACGCUGGCGGCAGGCCUAACACAUGCAAGUCGAGCGGAUGAAGGGAGCUUGCUCCUGGAUUCAGCGGCGGACGGUUGAGUAAUGCCUAUGAAUCUGCCUGGUAGUGGGGGAUAACGUCCGGAAACGGGCGCUAAUACCGCAUACGUCCUGAGGGAGCAUGUGGGUGAUCUUCGGACCGCACGCUAUCAGAUGAGCCUAGGUUGGAUUCGCUAGUUGGUGGGGUAAAGGCCUACCAAGGCGACGAGCCGUAACUGGUCUGAGAGGAUGAUCAGUCACACUGGAAGUGAGACACGGUCCAGACUCCGACGGGAGGCAACAGUGGGGAAUAUUGGACGAGGGGCGAAAGGGGGAUCCAGCCAUGCCGCGUGUGUGAAGAAGGUCUUCGGAUUGGAAAGCACUUUAAGUUGGGAGGAAGGGCAGUAAGUUAAUACGGGGCGGUAUUGACGGUACCAAGAGAAUAAGCACCGGCUAACUUCGUG